RNAcentral lists this ribosomal RNA (270 nucleotides) under uncultured archaeon. Its description in RNAcentral is "partial 16S ribosomal RNA". It matches the Rfam family "Archaeal small subunit ribosomal RNA", at positions 477 to 747 of the family's 1478-position model. The record is from RNAcentral.
CAGCACCUCAAGUGGUCAGGAUGAUUAUUGGGCCUAAAGCAUCCGUAGCCGGCUCUGUAAGUUUUCGGUUAAAUCUGUACGCUCAACGUACAGGCUGCCGGGAAUACUGCAGCGCUAGGGAGUGGGAGAGGUAGACGGUACUCGGUAGGAAGGGGUAAAAUCCUUUGAUCUAUUGAUGACCACCUGUGGCGAAGGCGGUCUACCAGAACACGUCCGACGGUGAGGGAUGAAAGCUGCGGGAGCAAACCGGAUUAGAGACCCGAGUAGUCC